AUCAUUCUGCGCCUCAACGUUCUCUUUCUCUCUCCUCACGAUUCUAUGACUCCUCGGUUCUUCUUCUCCUGCAGAUCUGCUCUGCAUGGAUCGUUUUCUCUCUCUGUUUCUUUCAAAUUCGCGUAGAUCGCUUCGUUGUCUACGUGUUGAUGGUGGUUUUAUGUUGUGAGGAUGGUUUGAGCUGACGUUGAAUAGCUGGUUUGACCAGCUCGAGCUUGUGUUCCGCGUUCUUCGAUUCAGAUUUACAGAGAUGGCGACGGAGCUCUUAUGGAAUUUCAAGAGGUUUCAAGCCCAGACGGUUCUGAGCUGGAUGCAGAUCUGAUGCUUAUGGCUGCUGAAGCUGGUCCAACAGUUGUAAUUGAUAUUCGAUUCGAUGGGCAUAUUUGUAAUUUGAAAAGGGAAGCUGAAGUAUUCGGGGGUUUGGGUGUGGUUGAAUUCCGGAUGUAUAAGAUAUCGGGACGAAAGGCUCGGUGGAAGGGCUGAGUCCUGGACCGAUCUUUGUCAUCCGACCUUUGCCAUGACAGGUGCGCUUGCAUGGCAGGUCACAAAAAUACCUCAAUAAAAAAACAAACGAUUUUUUGGUUUUGAGGGGAGACAGCAUGGGGGUUUGCCCAGGGUCUCCCCUCUGGUGUGUGUGCGCUGUCUGUGUCCUCCUUUCUCUUUGUUCUCCGUUUUAUUUUUUUGCUCUCUUCUCCAUGCACACCAGUCGAGCACGGAUUGUGGACAUCAUCAACGACGAAAUCUCGCGCCCAAAGGUAUUAUCUGCCCGAGUCUAUAUUCUUUUAGUUGAUAUGCAUCAUGGUACCCAGAUCUGCAAAUUUCGCACCACAUUCACACGAACACCUAUCUAAACAUGGUACUUAAUCUGCAGCUACACGAUUAAUUAGUUUUAUUUAUCUUAAUUAACAAGGGAUUAAGCUUAUUGGGUUAUAUUAAGCAUAACUGGGGACUUGAGAAUCGAUAUGGCUUAGUAAUAAUGUUUGUUUACAGUUUGCUAAUUGUGGAGUUCUUCAAACUACCCCACUAAUUUUGAAGGUAAUCGGGUUCGAGUUUACAUGGCUAUAUCGAUGUUGGAUACUAGUUACUUAGUAUUAACAGCAAACAGGGUAUUUUGAUCCAUCAUAACCUCAAAAGUAUACACCCGUAUUUUUCUAAAUCCAAUACUAAUAUUUUUGGCAAGUUCCUUGCAAUGUUAUCCAUUUAUUAUUCUAUAAUACUGUAAAACAGAAGUGGUCGUAUGCGCGUCCAGAUCCCAAAUCCCUCAUUCCUCAUCCCACCAUGCCACUCAUUUAAAAUACCUUGCUUCGUCACAUAUUCCCACCACCUUUGCAAUAUUUUUAAUUACUUGUGUUACUACAGCUAAUUACAUGAGUUGAAAUUAAAUUUUAUGGUGUGUCGUGAACUAUUUUGAAUAAUUAUUCAUUAUAAUCUGGAUUACAGUUUAUGGUAUGUUAUUAUUGGGAUCUCAAAAGAUAUGGAUCCACUGUAAUAUUCUGUAAUUUAUAUCAUUUGGCUCCUUUUUCGUUGAGCCGUGGAUUGUAUUCCCAGUAGUUUGUUCUUAGGAGUGAAUGCUGGAAGCUUUCUUCGCUCUGGAGAUUGCACAAGACUUGUACCGGAUUGUAGCAGUGAGGUCGUGGGAAGGUCCAAGAAGUCUGUUGUAUGCGCACUCUUUCUGGAGAUUAUAAGGUGAAAAAUGACUGUACACCUGAAGGUUCAAUUUCUUAGGUGUCUGGAAGUUAUUCGAAGCCUUGAUAAGCAGUGUCCUACAUUUUAUUUCGUCUUUUAAAUUAUUGAAGUUAUAUUACAAUCAGCGUUUUCGAUUAUUUUACCGAAUUUCAUUACUUGGUUCUGUUGAAUUUAUAUUAUUAUGAUGGUCAAAUAAUGAAUUUUACUUGUAUUAAU
Molecule: non-coding RNA, 1902 nt
Organism: Prunus mume (Japanese apricot)
Lineage: Eukaryota; Viridiplantae; Streptophyta; Magnoliopsida; Rosales; Rosaceae
Source: RefSeq, a predicted model, not a curated record